This 475-nucleotide ribosomal RNA is filed under the name uncultured organism. RNAcentral describes it as "partial 16S ribosomal RNA". It matches the Rfam family "Bacterial small subunit ribosomal RNA", at positions 331 to 797 of the family's 1533-position model. The record is from RNAcentral.
GUACACUCCUGCGGGAGGCAGCAGUGGGGAAUAUUGCACAAUGGGCGCAAGCCUGAUGCAGCCAUGCCGCGUGUAUGAAGAAGGCCUUCGGGUUGUAAAGUACUUUCAGCGGGGAGGAAGGCGAUAAGGUUAAUAACCUUGUCGAUUGACGUUACCCGCAGAAGAAGCACCGGCUAACUCCGUGCCAGCAGCCGCGGUAAUACGGAGGGUGCAAGCGUUAAUCGGAAUUACUGGGCGUAAAGCGCACGCAGGCGGUCUGUCAAGUCGGAUGUGAAAUCCCCGGGCUCAACCUGGGAACUGCAUUCGAAACUGGCAGGCUAGAGUCUUGUAGAGGGGGGUAGAAUUCCAGGUGUAGCGGUGAAAUGCGUAGAGAUCUGGAGGAAUACCGGUGGCGAAGGCGGCCCCCUGGACAAAGACUGACGCUCAGGUGCGAAAGCGUGGGGAGCAAACAGGAUUAGAAACCCUAGUAGUCCCA